Molecule: non-coding RNA, 113 nt
Organism: Elasticomyces elasticus
Lineage: Eukaryota; Fungi; Ascomycota; Dothideomycetes; Mycosphaerellales; Teratosphaeriaceae
Source: the annotation of a GenBank genome assembly
GGUCCUGUAGUGUAGUGGAUAAUCAUGCCGGUCUAAUAAGAAGUGUGUGGCGAGUUCAUCGUUGCACGCCUCGAAGACAGCUGGCGACCCGAGUUCGAUUCUCGGCGGGACUA